AUUUAAUGCAAUUUUGACUUCCCCUAAAAAAGUGGUGAAGUCACAUGAAAGUGACAAAAAGAUUGCCAAACACCCCCUUAGGCACUGUAAGCUCUCGUUUGUCUAUGCCUCUUCUAUAUGGUUUUGAUCUGCUAGAUGGUGAAGAGUAGCAUGAGUUAUCAUUUUGGGAGUUUCACUUUCAAGAGUAUUCGGAUGCAAUUGAAGGGAGCAACCUUGGGUUAGUAGGCACAUAACCACUGUAAGUAGGCACAUAACCACUGUAAUCUCUAUUGUGUGAUAAUUGUCCUAUGGUCUUGAUUGGGCAGAUGGUGAAGGAUAUCUUGUCCACCAUUUGGGAGUUUAUAUUUCAAAAAGUCCUGAAACUUUGGGUUAGGCACUGUAAGCUUCUUGUUGCCCGAUACUUCAAUGGCUUUGAUCUGCAAGUUGGUGUAGAAUAGCUUAAUCAUCCUCUGGGAGUUUUGGCUUCAAAAAGGCCCGGGGACUUGAGAUAUCUUAGUGGAGCAGGUGAAGAAUAGAAUGAUUAUCAUUUUGGGAGUUCCACUUUCAAUAAAUUCUGAGGACUCUGACGCAAUUGAAGGGAGCAACCUUGGGUUAGUAGAAACAUAACUACUGUAAGCUUUUAUUGUGUGAUAAUUGUCCUAUGGUCUUGAUUUGGCAGAUGGUGAAGGAUAUCUUGUCCAUCAUUUGGGAGUUUAUGUUUCAGAAAGUCCUGAAACCUUGGCUUAGGCACUGUAAGUUUCUUGUUGUUCUUGUUGCCUGAUACUUCUAUGGCUUUUAUCUGCAAGUUGGUGUAGAAUAGCUUAAUCAUCCUCUGGGAGUUUCAGUUUUAAAAAAAAUUGGGACUUGAGAUAUCUUAGUGGAGCAAUCUUGGGUUGGCACUGUAAGUUCAUUGUUGCCCAAUGAUUAUCAUAGUAGAAAUUAAUUUAGUUCAAUUCUGUGAUUUCAUCGCGGUACAUCUUAGUGGAGCGACUGUGGGUAGGCACUGUAAGCUUUUAUUGUUGCCUGAUAAUUAUUAUAUCAUAAUUUUGUUUAGUUCCAUUCUGUGAUUAUCAUAUCAUAGUUUUGUUUAGUUCCAUUCUGUGAUUUCGACAGUGUAUAUAUAUAUAGAGAGAGAUGUAGGUCACUAGAUGGAGGUCUGCACAUUAUUUGGACUACAUGCUAGGAUAUAGUUCUUUUAUUGGCAAUUAAAAUCUUCAUGAUUUCUUGAUUUGAUUCCUUGGGUGAUAUGUGCAUAAUGUGUUGAUGGGUGCUUCAAAUUAUUUUUUCUCUUACAGAAGGAUAAGUAUCAGCAUAUAGUAUGAAAAUUCAACUGGUGGUCAUAAAAUGGUGCAAAAAAUGUGGGGAAUUGUUUCAUGUUUUUUAUUUGUUUUCUGUUGUACCAUGGUCUAUGGAGUGUCCUUGUAUACCACAUGCACGAGCAUUGUUAGGCUAUUAUUGAAUCUAUGUGCUUAACACAAUUUUAUACGAAGAUCAAUGUUUGGUGGAACCAUAUUGUUCUCUUUUAUUAGCGUCCUGUUCAAGGAUAAGUGCAGAUGAGUGACAAUCAGGAUUCAGAAUCAACUACUUGGUUUAAAUGCAGAGACACGCUAAACUAAUGUAGGAAGAUAUGAUGGUCUGGGUUCAAUCAGACCAAAUCCAAUAAAAGCUUGAUGGUCAUUGUUAGUUAGACAAGAUAAUUGUUUCAGCUGAAACGAAGAAUGAAAUGAAAUGAGUUCAGAAAAGUGAUAGUUAAGAAGUUAGGUUGAAUCAAUAACGAAAUAGAACUUUAGAUUGUGCUGUUAAUUGUGCUGUUAAUUGAUACAGAGAGCUCUCUGAGGUGGGGUCGUCUGUUCAUGUGGAGAUUAAGAAUGCAAUGAAUAGCAGCUCCGGUGGUAGGAAGAUGUUGAUUUACUUUCUUGUUAUCAGAAGAUUAUCCAGUUGAUGACCCGGAUUAGGCAGCCUAAUUGAUCACUGAGAUCUCUGCUUUCCUCACCUAAAUCACGCCAGUUUGGCAUGGGCAUUUUGCGGAUCUUCUCGAAGCAUAUGCCUUACUAAAGGGAGAAAUUUAGAAGGGUGAAGAGCAUGGAGACUGUCAUAGUUUAGCAUCAUGGGAAAUCCGUUCUGGUAGACAGCUACUAGGGUUAUAUCCUUGAGUUGUGGAAGAAUUAAAAUCAUCAUGUACAACAGAAGUAGUGCAGGUGGACCACUGUCCUAGUUUAGCAACACAGGAAAUCCAUUCUGGGAGACAGCUACUAGGGUUAUAUCCUUGAGUUGUGGAAUUAGAAAUCAGAAGAAUUAAAAUCAUCAUGUACAGCAGUAGUCCAGGUGGACCAUUCAAUUGAGGGUGUCAAGUUUCUACAUGAAGAAUUAAAAUCAUCAUGUACAGCAGUAGUCCAGGUGGACCAUUCAGUUGAGGGUGUCAAGAUUCUACAUGUUAAGUUUUCCCAUGUAGCGACAUUAUGUGGUCACUUCAGUGAGUUUUUUGUGAACUUUUAUGUAGACUUGGCAUCAGGUUGCUGUCCAUUUGUAAUGCAACAUUUAAACAUAUGAUUGUGAAAGUCUAUUUUUCAUUCAACAUUCAUGGGUUAUUUGGCAUUA
Long non-coding RNA from Asparagus officinalis (garden asparagus), 2577 nucleotides. RefSeq lists it as uncharacterized. NCBI's taxonomy places the organism in Eukaryota, Viridiplantae, Streptophyta, Magnoliopsida, Asparagales, Asparagaceae. The transcript is spliced from 3 exons. The record is from RefSeq and is a predicted model, not a curated record.